CCUACGGGUGGCACCAGUGGGGAAUAUUGGACAAUGGGCGAAAGCCUGAUCCAGCCAUGCCGCGUGUGUGAAGAAGGUCUUCGGAUUGUAAAGCACUUUAAGCUGGGAGGAAGGGCAGUAAGUUAAUACCUUGCUGUUUUGACGUUACCAGCAGAAUAAGCACCGGCUAACUUCGUGCCAGCAGCCGCGGUAAUACGAAGGGUGCAAGCGUUAAUCGGAAUUACUGGGCGUAAAGCGCGCGUAGGUGGUUCAGCAAGUUGGAUGUGAAAGCCCCGGGCUCAACCUGGGAACUGCAUCCAAAACUACUGGGCUAGAGUAUGGUAGAGGGUGGUGGAAUUUCCUGUGUAGCGGUGAAAUGCGUAGAUAUAGGAAGGAACACCAGUGGCGAAGGCGACCACCUGGACUAAUACUGACACUGAGGUGCGAAAGCGUGGGGAGCAAACAGGAUUAGAUACCCUAGUAGUC
RNAcentral lists this ribosomal RNA (465 nucleotides) under uncultured bacterium. Its description in RNAcentral is "bacterial SSU rRNA". It matches the Rfam family "Bacterial small subunit ribosomal RNA", at positions 338 to 795 of the family's 1533-position model. The record is from RNAcentral.